CCAGGGCCGAGCAGACCUUGGGACCUGUGAGCGCUGCAUCCAAUUAACCAUGGGAAGGGUCAGCACCAGCCACCAGCCCCUUAGGUGAGGACUCUGCCUGGGGCUCCGCUGAUGGUUCCGAAUCAUGGAGCUGCAGAGAGCUCCUCCAGCCAGGAGACGUUCUUGGUGAAAGCUGUGGUCUAACUCCACCGGCUCUUCCUGCACAUUGUAUUCAAGAGGGGUGCCUGUCCCCGCUGACUCAGGAGCUCCGGUGCUGCAGCCGCCACGAAUGGGGAGGUGGGCCCUCGAUGUGGCCUUUUUGUGGAAGGCGGUGUUGACCCUGGGGCUGGUGCUUCUCUACUACUGCUUCUCCAUCGGCAUCACCUUCUACAACAAAUGGCUGACAAAGGGCGCUGGUUCAGUGCUCCAGCCACAGGGCCCGUGUGGUGCUGAGCUGGGCCGACUACCUCAGAAGAGUGGCUCCCACAGCUCUGGCGACGGCGCUUGACGUGGGCUUGUCCAACUGGAGCUUCCUCUAUGUCACCGUCUCGCUGUACACAAUGACCAAAUCCUCAGCUGUCCUCUUCAUCUUGAUCUUCUCUCUGAUCUUCAAGCUGGAGGAGCUGUCCACACAGUUCAACGUGGAGGGCUUCGCCUUGGUGCUGGGGGCCUCGUUCAUCGGUGGCAUUCGCUGGACCCUCACCCAGAUGCUCCUGCAGAAGGCUGAACUCGGCCUCCAGAAUCCCAUCGACACCAUGUUCCACCUGCAGCCACUCAUGUUCCUGGGGCUCUUCCCUCUCUUUGCUGUAUUUGAAGGUCUCCAUUUGUCCACAUCUGAGAAAAUCUUCCGUUUCCAGGACACAGGGCUGCUCCUGCGGGUACUUGGGAGCCUC
RNAcentral lists this small RNA (872 nucleotides) under Pan troglodytes (chimpanzee). RNAcentral describes it as "processed transcript". The record is from RNAcentral. Lineage: Eukaryota; Metazoa; Chordata; Mammalia; Primates; Hominidae.